Molecule: long non-coding RNA, 332 nt
Filed under: Callithrix jacchus (white-tufted-ear marmoset)
Lineage: Eukaryota; Metazoa; Chordata; Mammalia; Primates; Cebidae
Description: lncRNA (ENSCJAG00000082896.1)
Source: RNAcentral
UGCUAGUAACACCUUCCUAAUGGAUUAUUUCUUAUAGGUUGAUUGGGAGCCCUGAACACACUGAGUCUGCUUCAAGCAAGAUGAGCAGUUCUCACUUCAUGGGCACCUCUUCACUUCCUGCUAGAGCCUUCCAGCAUGACAUCAUAGAGUGAUCACUGCCUUCACUUCCUUUGGCUGAAGCCCAUCUGCUGUAUCUUCUUUGAAGGCAAAGAAGCUAUUUUAAUAAAGCCCAAGGAGGUUAUGCAAAAGGCUGCCAAACAGAUAUCAUCUCUUACGGUACCAAAAAGGUGAAGAACCCCUAGUCUAGAAGGAUUCCAUUCAAAGAAAAUUCA